GCCGACGCCCGACUCAAGAACUACAAGGAAGUUGACGGGACCCGCACAAGCGGUGGAUCAUGGUUGUUUAAUUCGUAUGAUACGCGAAGAACCUUACCAGGUCUGACAUCCCCCGCGAUGCUUUAGAGAUAAGCGGAGGUAUUCGGGGAGACAGGUGGUGCAUGGUUGUCGUCAGCUCGUGUCGUGAGAUGUUGGGUUAAGUCCCGCAAACGAGCGCAACCCCUAUUGCUAGUUACCAUCAUUAAGUUGGGGACUCUAGCGAGACUGCCAGUGAUAAACUGGAGGAAGGUGGGGAUGACGUCAAAUCAUCAUGCCCCUUAUGACCUGGGCUACAAACGUGAUACAAUGGCUGGAACAAAGGGAUGCGAAGCAGUGAUGUGGAGCGAAACCCAUAAAAACAGUCUCAGUUCGGAUUGAAGUCUGCAACUCGACUUCAUGAAGUCGGAAUCGCUAGUAAUCGCGGAUCAGAACGCCGCGGUGAAUACGUUCUCGGGGUUU
This 498-nucleotide ribosomal RNA is filed under the name uncultured Acholeplasma sp. Its description in RNAcentral is "bacterial SSU rRNA". It matches the Rfam family "Bacterial small subunit ribosomal RNA", at positions 903 to 1382 of the family's 1533-position model. The record is from RNAcentral. Lineage: Bacteria; Bacillati; Mycoplasmatota; Mollicutes; Acholeplasmatales; Acholeplasmataceae.